Molecule: ribosomal RNA, 230 nt
Filed under: uncultured bacterium
Lineage: Bacteria
Description: partial 16S ribosomal RNA
Rfam family: Bacterial small subunit ribosomal RNA
Source: RNAcentral
CGGACGGGUGAGUAAUGUCUGGGAAACUGCCAUGGAGGGGGAUAACUACUGGAAACGGUAGCUAAUACCGCAUAACGUCGCAAGACCAAAGAGGGGGACCUUCGGGCCUCUUGCCAUCGGAUGUGCCCAGAUGGGAUUAGCUAGUAGGUGGGGUAACGGCUCACCUAGGCGACGAUCCCUAGCUGGUCUGAGAGGAUGACCAGCCACACUGGAACUGAGACACGGUCCAG